This 432-nucleotide ribosomal RNA is filed under the name uncultured bacterium. Its description in RNAcentral is "partial 16S ribosomal RNA". It matches the Rfam family "Bacterial small subunit ribosomal RNA", at positions 29 to 506 of the family's 1533-position model. The record is from RNAcentral.
AACGAACGCUGGCGGCAGGCCUAACACAUGCGAGUCGAGCGAGGACUUCGGUCCUAGCGGCGGACGGGUGAGUAACGCGUGGGAACGUGCCCUUUGCUUCGGAAUAGCCCUGGGAAACUGGGAGUAAUACCGGAUGAGCCCUUUGGGGGAAAGAUUUAUCGGCGAAGGAUCGGCCCGCGUUGGAUUAGGUAGUUGGUGGGGUAAUGGCCUACCAAGCCGACGAUCCAUAGCUGGUUUGAGAGGAUGAUCAGCCACACUGGGACUGAGACACGGCCCAGACUCCUACGGGAGGCAGCAGUGGGGAAUCUUAGACAAUGGGGGAAACCCUGAUCUAGCCAUGCCGCGUGAGCGAUGAAGGCCUUAGGGUUGUAAAGCUCUUUCAGCUGGGAAGAUAAUGACGGUACCAGCAGAAGAAGCCCCGGCUAACUCCGU